This 373-nucleotide ribosomal RNA is filed under the name uncultured organism. Its description in RNAcentral is "partial 16S ribosomal RNA". It matches the Rfam family "Bacterial small subunit ribosomal RNA", at positions 527 to 896 of the family's 1533-position model. The record is from RNAcentral.
GUAGGUGGCAAGCGUUGUCCGGAAUUAUUGGGCGUAGAGCGCGCGCAGGUGGUUCUUUAAGUCUGAUGUGAAAGCCCCCGGCUCAACCGGGGAGGGUCAUUGGAAACUGGGGAACUUGAGUGCAGGAGAGGAAAGUGGAAUUCUACGUGUAGCGGUGAAAUGCGUAGAUAUGUGGAGGAACACCAGUGGCGAAGGCGACUUUCUGGCCUGUAACUGACACUGAGGCGCGAAAGCGUGGGGAGCAAACAGGGAUUAGAUACCCUGGUAGUCCACGCCGUAAACGAUGAGUGCUAAGUGUUGGGGGGGUUUCCGCCCCCUCAGUGCUGCAGCUAACGCAUUAAGCACUCCGCCUGGGAGUACGGUCGCAAGACUG